Molecule: long non-coding RNA, 265 nt
Organism: Drosophila pseudoobscura
Lineage: Eukaryota; Metazoa; Arthropoda; Insecta; Diptera; Drosophilidae
Exons: 2
Source: RefSeq, a predicted model, not a curated record
UCCUAAAAGGUUUACGAUUCCCAUCAUGCAUUAUGCAUGCAAUAUGCAUUUGAGUGCAUUGCAUGAGUUAUUUGGUAUAUAAACGCCUGCCGGAGACUCAGUUGUGGAAUUAUUUUCGAAGUAAAAUUUCAAAAAUGAGAGGUCUGCUGGUUCUGGUCCUAACGUUGGCUCUGAUGACUGGAAGUGCCCUGGGCUCUCUAGCAUUUUGGCAGGCUUUGCUGGGAGGAGGAUCCAGCGCUGGAGCUGGAGCCAGGGCUUCUGCGAU